This 395-nucleotide ribosomal RNA is filed under the name Entamoeba histolytica. RNAcentral describes it as "SSU rRNA". It matches the Rfam family "Eukaryotic small subunit ribosomal RNA", at positions 1034 to 1430 of the family's 1831-position model. Lineage: Eukaryota; Evosea; Mastigamoebida; Endamoebidae. The record is from RNAcentral.
AAGCAUUGUUUCUAGAUCUGAGUAUAUCAAUAUUACCUUGUUCAGAACUUAAAGAGAAAUCUUGAGUUUAUGGACUUCAGGGGGAGUAUGGUCACAAGGCUGAAACUUAAAGGAAUUGACGGAAGGGCACACCAGGAGUGGAGCCUGCGGCUUAAUUUGACUCAACACGGGAAAACUUACCAAGACCGAACAGUAGAAGGAAUGACAGAUUAAGAGUUCUUUCAUGAUUUAUUGGGUAGUGGUGCAUGGCCGUUCUUAGUUGGUGGAGUGAUUUGUCAGGUUAAUUCCGGUAACGAACGAGACUGAAACCUAUUAAUUAGUUUUCUGCCUAUAAGACAGAAAUGUUCGCAAGAACAGGUGCGUAAGUACCACUUCUUAAAGGGACACAUUUCAAU